UACGAAGGGUGCAAGCGUUAAUCGGAAUUACUGGGCGUAAAGGGUGCGUAGACGGCCUGAUAAGUCGAAUGUGAAAGUCCUGGGCUCAACCUGGGGACGGCAUUCGAUACUGUUUGGCUUUGAGUUUGGGAGAGGGUGGUGGAAUUCCCGGUGUAGCGGUGAAAUGCGUAGAGAUCGGGAGGAACAUCUGUGGCGAAGGCGGCCACCUGGCCUGAAACUGACGUUGAGGCACGAAAGCGUGGGGAGCAAACAGG
This 254-nucleotide ribosomal RNA is filed under the name uncultured bacterium. Its description in RNAcentral is "partial 16S ribosomal RNA". It matches the Rfam family "Bacterial small subunit ribosomal RNA", at positions 524 to 776 of the family's 1533-position model. The record is from RNAcentral.